RNAcentral lists this microRNA (21 nucleotides) under Arabidopsis lyrata. RNAcentral's name for it is "aly-miR846-5p". Its record names the gene aly-miR846-5p. Lineage: Eukaryota; Viridiplantae; Streptophyta; Magnoliopsida; Brassicales; Brassicaceae. The record is from miRBase by way of RNAcentral.
UUCAGGGACUUCAAUUCAGAA